AGAAGAUCCACAGUACAGACAGUCCACCUUGAAGAUGAAUGUUUGUAGCUGGUUUGAGUUUACUACUUCCAUAAAGUUGCCAGAAUGGAAAUGUCUCCUGAAAAGAGAUUUGGAACUCUGAGCAGUUGUGGCCUUUUGAGGACUGUGUCUGCUGUCAUGAGAGAAUGAGUGAAGAGGACAAACACUGAAUCCCAAGAGGUUGCUGCCAGCUCCAUACAUCCGCUAUCUUUUCCAUUAUGAACUCCUCAACUUCUGUCCAGUUUAUUUUUCUUUGUAAAAGUAAUCAAGGAUAAGCCCAGGCUUUAUUUUUCAGUCUGACGG
This 321-nucleotide long non-coding RNA is filed under the name Gallus gallus (chicken). The record is from RNAcentral. Lineage: Eukaryota; Metazoa; Chordata; Aves; Galliformes; Phasianidae.